This is a long non-coding RNA of Xenia sp. Carnegie-2017, 1070 nucleotides long. RefSeq lists it as uncharacterized. NCBI's taxonomy places the organism in Eukaryota, Metazoa, Cnidaria, Anthozoa, Malacalcyonacea, Xeniidae. The transcript has 2 exons. The record is from RefSeq and is a predicted model, not a curated record.
AAAGCAUCAAGUAGAAACAAUCCAGCUCCACUGAAACCACAAAUCUAAAAGGGGGAAAAAUAAACAUCAUGACAUCGACAAGUGUGAUGGACUUACUCCAAAAGCACCAUGUUUUUUGCAUUGCAAGCGUGUGCAGGCAAAGACUAAACCAAUAAAGACAAUUACCACUCCAAGACCAGCUGCAUUGAGGUAUAUUUCGUAUCUACCAUAGUGUCUGAAGUAGUCGACUUUAAUUACGUUUUGUGGGAAAUAAUCAUAAAAUUCCUUGUAAAAUUUACCGACAAAACCACUUCCAACUGCCAGUGCUGCCUGGGAAAGUUGAAAGUUGUUAGUGUUUUUUCUAACUGGAAUACAAGAAUAGCAAUAUGUUUAUAACAAUUAACAUUAUAUGUACCACAAGGAACGUAUAUUAACUUUAUGUAUGCUACAUACAACAUAAGGAACGUAUGUUAAUAUUAUGAAUGCUACAUACAACAUAAGGAACGUAUGUUAAUAUUAUGUAUGCUACAUACAACAUAAGGAACGUAUGUUAAUAUUAUGUAUGCUACAUACAACAUAAGGAACGUAUGUUAAUAUUAUGUAUGCUACAUACAACAUAAGGAACGUAUGUUAAUAUUAUGUGCAGUACUGCUCAGAAGUAACUUAGCACUGCGUUCUCGUUCCAUUUGCGUUUCGAACGCGUUUCAAAAAAAUUUUUGAACACGGUCUGAACGCGACCCCGAUUGUUCAAAUGAACUCGGUAUAACAUGGAAAUUUCCGAAAUUAAACCCUUGUAUAGCGAGUAUAAAUGAUGAUUACCGAUCAAUGAUCAGAUGCGGCCAACAACGCGUUUUGAUACGCGUUCCAUCUUCAGCCGAACGCAAUUGGAACGCAACUGGAACGCAUUUGGAAGACAUUUUGGAACGAGUUAGGAGCGCGUUUUAGGUAAACUUACUUCUGAGCAGCACUGUAUGCUAUAUGCAACAUAAGAAACGUAUGUUAAUAUUAUGUAUCCUACAUACAACAUAAGAAACGUAUGUUAAUAUUAUGUAUAUUAAAUGUAUAAUAAGGAAAAUAAUUUUUACAUCUUA